RNAcentral lists this long non-coding RNA (3607 nucleotides) under Callithrix jacchus (white-tufted-ear marmoset). RNAcentral describes it as "lncRNA (ENSCJAG00000084980.1)". Lineage: Eukaryota; Metazoa; Chordata; Mammalia; Primates; Cebidae. The record is from RNAcentral.
AUGGAGAGGCGCGCGGGGCGGGUGGAAACGCGUGCUCGCCCCGCACCUCCGCAUCCGCGAGGGGAGGCUCCUGCCCCGCGCCGCAGCCAGUCCCCGCGCGCUCGCCCCCGCGCCUCCCUCCCGCGCCCCCGCUCCUCCGGCCGCCCCCGCGCCCCCCGCCGCCUCCUCCGCCCGUGGACCGCUGCGCGCUGCUGCCCCGGGGGGCUGGCGUUUCCACCUGUCACCGCGCCGCCGCCGCCGCCGCCCAAGUUUUCAGGGAACUUACCUGGCGCGUCGUGUGCCUCAGGCUCUUCCCCAUGGCCGCCGCCCCCUCCUCCCGCCAGCUCCCCGGGCCCCCCGCGCCCCCCGCCCAGCCCUGCGGCCGCCGGGCCCGAUGAACGCCAGCAGCGGGGACUCGGGGGGUGGGAGCCCCGCGCGCAGCCGCCCGCACCCGAGCGCUCCUGCUUCCGAGCAGCCACGCAGCGUCCGUCCGGGGCAGGAGCAUUGCGGAUGCGGCGCGGGGCCGGCGCGGGGCUCCGGGCGCUCUCGGGGGUCGUGAGCGCCGCGCCCCGCGCCCCCGCACGCCCCCCACCGGCCCGCGCGCCCCGCCGGGGCCAUGCAGUCUCUCAUGUCGCCGGUGACCAAGGCGAUCCUGGUGGCCCUGUUCAGCUUCGCCAUCCUCCUCAUCCUCUACGUGAUUCUCUGGUACAUCUGCCGCGAUGUGGACUGCGACCACGGCAUCUGAGCGCCGCCGGACCCCCGGGCCGCCACGCGGGGGGCGUCCGCGGCGGGAGGGCCCUGGGGACUGAGCGGUCCCGCGGUGCCCCCAGCUUGGCGCUGGAGACCCCCGCCCCGGGCCCCGCCGCCGGCCCUGCACCGCCUCCUGGCCUUGACCUUCAGCGACGCGCCGGGGAGAGCGGGUCCCCUAAGGCGCUGGAGAACGCUGGCGGCUGUGGAGUCAUGUGUUUGCAUGCAUGACAGGUGCCAGCCAGGGAGCUGUGGGCACAUCACCCUGGGAAGCCAGCACCCACAGGCCAGGACUGCAGCGUGCAGGGAUGGAUCUCUGAAGGUCACUGCUCCGCCCUGCUCUGAAGACUGUCCACCAGCAUGUCAACGCAGCUUCCCUGCGGGGGUUGAAGGGUGGGAAGACUGUCAGUCAGGAUUAAGGCCAUCUCCCCCGCCCAUCACUCCUUCUGCCAAGCCAUCACCAGGCAGCCGGGACUCAUGGGCAGUGUCACCUCCGGGGCCAUGCUGGCAUCUGUAACCUCCAUCCACCCUCGAGGUCCCAUCCAGCCAGCUCUGCCCACCUGCCUGGCCCAGUCUGUUGUGAAGUUUCACGCUCCUUCCUCUUGUGCAGAGUCGGAAUUCACGGGGGUCGCCAUGCCCACAGGUACCCCAGUGGAAGUGUUGACUCUUAUUACUGGCUAGACCCAUCCAGAGGACAAACCAGCUUCAGAGAAUGCCAUCGUUAAAGUAGGUGCCACUGGGGGGUUUCCGCACUUAACUCUCCGAUGCUGUCCCCGCCAUCAACCUGAUACAGACUUCGUCCGCUGCGAGAUCACUUCCUCUCAAGUGCAGACCAGAUCCCCCAGGGAAGAGACUCCUCGUCCUCAUUGUUGCCAAGUGACCCCGAAUAUUCCUCUCCUGCCUGUUGCAGAAAAGGAAAAGUCACGUUCUGGAAGAACAGCAUUGCCCUACAAAUACAAACGAGAGACUCUGCACCUAGAACAAGAGUCCCGGAAAUUUCCAGAAGCAAAUCUCUCACUUGUGACCAUCAGAUUCCACCUGAUGCCUAAUGCACCUUCUCAAAUCUCAUCACGUGUGACAGCCGCAACGCCCGGUCCAGUGGCCACACAGGACUCUCCGCUGUGUUUCUUCUGCUUCCUUUAACGCACAAGAGUGAAGAGAUGAGGACGAAGGCGGGCGGAACACUGGUCUCUCUGAAUGCCCUGGACCGACAGCAGCCCUGGUCACCCACUCACCAUCCUGUCCAUAUGCACCCUGGUGAGCAUUUUCUAGAAGCUCCCAUGGUUCCGUGUUUGUAGGUGUGAUGUGUGCCACCUCCGAGGCUGUCGUAGCUUCCACCUCCUCUGUCUGCAGAGAGGCCACAAAGACAGAGCUGAGAAAUUAUGGCUAUCCCAGAAAAUAAAAUAUUUUUUGAAACCACACAGCACAGGUGUGGGUCUUUGUGUCACUGUGAAAACAGAACCCUGCAUACCGUUAGCUUGGUAGCAUUUGGAUGACAGACAGAGUAUUCAUGGGCCCUGCAGAGAAGUACGGGUGGAAAUGCAUUUAUCACCUGAGCUUGGUACAGUCUGCUCUUGGUACAUUUUUUUAUUUUUUUGAGAUGGAGUCUCACUCUGUCCCUCAGGCUGGAGUUCAGUGGCACGAUCUCAGCUCACUGCAACCUCUGCAGCUGGGAUGACAAGCUCCUACUAUCAUGCCUGGCUGAUUUUUGUAUUUUUAGUAGCGAUGGGGUUUCCCCAUGUUGGCCAGGCUGGUCCCAAACUCAUGACCUCAGGUGAUCCGCCCACCUCAAUCUCCCAAAGUGCUGGGAUCCCAAAGUGUGAGCUGGGUGGCCUCUGGCUGCAUCUACAAAAUGAGAUGCCUCCCGUAUGGUCUCCAUAGGUGUGGGAAGGGAUGCCUUCUAUUAAAAUAACCACUAAAAAGGCAGUGUCAGAGCUCCCAUGAUGAUUUUAACACCCAAGCUCUUCUGAGGUCAUUUUCCUAAAGGAGGUCUGCUUUCUCCAUGUCUGAGAACACAGAACAUAUUCUCACCCUGUACACAGAGGAGCACCGCACUUCACACUCGCGGGUCUCAGCUUUCCCUGGGCAGGGUCUCAACGUGGGAGCCCGAGCACAAGGCAGAAAAACCUGCCAUAAGAUUCACACAAGCACCUCCACCUGCUCCAGAACAGGGUCAAAGGCUAAGAGAAAAAGUCUGAAAAACCAUAUUUUAUAAGUACAAUCUUAAUUGCACUUGUGAUUAAAAAAAACAUGGUUUUGUUUUUGUUUUUGUUUUUGUUUUUUUGAGUCAGAGUCUCACUCUGUCACCCAGGCUGGAGUGCAGUGAUGUGAUCUCUGCUCACUGCAACCUCCACCCCCCGGGUUCAGGCAAUUCUCUUGUCUCAGUCUUCAGAGUAGCUGGGACAACAGGUGUGCGCCACCACGCCCGUGUAAUUUUGUAUUUUUUUUUUUUUUUCAUUUUUUAGUAGAGAUGGGGUUACGGCAUGUUGGCCAGACUGGUCUCGAGCUCCUGACCUCAGGUAAUCUGCCCACCUCGGCCUCCCAAAGUGCUGGGAUUACAGGAGUGAGCAACCACAUCUGGUCAACUCAUGUCUUAAUACACUUAUUUUAUUAUUAACCCCAAGAAGGAAAAUGUGGCAGACACAUGGCUAAGGGUUACUUUUCAUAUCUACACGGCGAAAGACCAAGAUGGCUGGGUGAGGUGCAUACAUUCCUCUGGAAAAGGGGCCUUUAUACUCUUGGGGUGACGGGCGGCCUACAAUAAUUGUCUUUCAUCCGAGAGAACAUAGGAAGAUUGUCAAGAAGUGUGUGGGACACCGGGUGCGGUGGCUCACACUUGUAAUCCCAGCACUUUGGGAGGCCAAGGCUGGUGGAUCACAAG